UACGUAGAGUCCAAGCGUUAUCCGGAAUCACUGGGCGUAAAGCGUGCGUAGGUGGAUUGUUAAGUGCGAUGCGAAAUCCUGUGGCUCAACCAUAUGGACUGUAUCGCAUACUGGCAAUCUAGAGGAUAUGAGAGGCAAGUGGAAUUCCUGGUGUAGCGGUGAAAUGCGCAGAUAUCAGGAGGAACACCGGUGGCGAAGGCGGAUCUCUGGGCCCGAUACUGACGCUGGAGGAGCGAAAGCGUGGGGAGCGAACAGG
RNAcentral lists this ribosomal RNA (256 nucleotides) under uncultured bacterium. RNAcentral describes it as "partial 16S ribosomal RNA". It matches the Rfam family "Bacterial small subunit ribosomal RNA", at positions 524 to 776 of the family's 1533-position model. The record is from RNAcentral.